CCUACGGGAGGCUGCAGUGGGGAAUAUUGGGCAAUGGGCGCAAGCCUGACCCAGCAACGCCGCGUGAAGGAAGAAGGCUUUCGGGUUGUAAACUUCUUUCGUCAGGGACGAAGAAAGUGACGGUACUUGACGAAUAAGCCCCGGCUAACUACGUGCCAGCAGCCGCGGUAAUACGUAGGUGGCAAGCGUUAUCCGGAUUUAUUGGGUGAAAAGGGCGUGUAGGCGGGAUUGCAAGUCAGAUGUGAAAUUCCAGGGCUCAACCCUGGAACUGCAUUUGAAACUAUAGGGCUUGAGUGAUGGAGAGGCAGGCGGAAUUCCGGGUGUAGCGGUGAAAUGCGUAGAUAUACGGAGGAACACCAGUGGCGAAGGCGGCCUACUGGACAUUAACUGACGCUGAGGCGCGAAAGCGUGGGGAGCAAACAGGAUUAGAUACCCUUGUAGUC
Molecule: ribosomal RNA, 443 nt
Filed under: uncultured bacterium
Lineage: Bacteria
Description: partial 16S ribosomal RNA
Rfam family: Bacterial small subunit ribosomal RNA
Source: RNAcentral